GGAGCUCAGUCAGUAGAGCAUGAAACUCCUAAUCUCAGGGUUGUGAGUUUGAGCCCCUUGUUGGGCA
Podarcis lilfordi (Lilford's wall lizard) is the source of this 67-nucleotide non-coding RNA. NCBI's taxonomy places the organism in Eukaryota, Metazoa, Chordata, Lepidosauria, Squamata, Lacertidae. The record is from the annotation of a GenBank genome assembly.